Molecule: long non-coding RNA, 1202 nt
Organism: Mauremys mutica (yellowpond turtle)
Lineage: Eukaryota; Metazoa; Chordata; Testudines; Geoemydidae
Exons: 3
Source: RefSeq, a predicted model, not a curated record
CUCUUGCCCCACUAAGCACAUCUUUGGCACUUAAAUAAUAGUCUGUUAAUCCCCUGUUCCAGUGGCCAUCAUAGGAGCUAGGCAGACAGAUGGGACAGCGUCACUCAGAAUUUGACAUUCCUGCAUGUUACCCCAGAAUUUAACUGUACAGCAGUCAGCAAUUUCGUAUGGUUUUCAGCUGGCUGUGGCUGAACAAACAUUGCAGACAGGAAAAAAAAAAAAAUCUUAGGCCCUGCGAGGCAAGGCCAAACAACAAAACUGCAAACAUGCACUUGUUAUCCUGUCCUCCCAUUCUGAUAAGUGAGUGUACUGUGCGAAUAGAAGGAAUGUUUAGAUGGCUGACCUUGGUCUUGAGCACUUCUGACAUGUAAGAUAUUAUUGUUUUAAUGAUAAGAGAUAAUGAGUAGUCAAAACAUUUCUAGUUUUGCUGAAAGUAGAAGAAUUGGUGACCUAUUAGGGGUUACUAUGGUGACUCACUAGGAGUCACUAUAGGUUAUGUGCUUUGUUUGAAGUUAACUAUAAAAGAUUAGGUCAAAGAAUUUGCUUUGGACCAGUCGGAGGAAGCUUUCUUGGGGCAAGGAUCUGACAGCUGAGUUCCCCAGCGGCUAGAUGGAAGGCCAAUCAAAGAUAAGAGGAAGGGACAUUCCUCAGAGACAGUCUUCUUGCAGCAGCAGAAAAGCUUUUGCAGAACCUUCAUACGUACCUGCGCACCACUGGAGUUGCUGACAGUGCCGAGAUAAAAAUGUAUGUUCAGGAGUGCAAGCAUGUUGCAAGAUCCUUAUGGAUCAAUUUAAUUUGCUUUCUUUUAUCAGAGAGAAACCUCUCCACAACAGACCUCUGCUUUGUUCUGGUUUACAGGGGUGGUUGUUGGUGGUGGCUCCUUGACGUCUCACAGCAAGAAGUAGUGAGGUGAGCAAGUGUUUUUAAGUUACAACAAAAAAUCAAAUACAAAAAUGAAUGACUCAAUCAGUCAAUCAAGAUCAUCAUGGUAAAGGACUAGCCAAAUCCAAAGAGAAGUGGUAUCCAGGGACUACAAAGCGGAUCUCGAGCACCUAGGACCUCAGCUCACGUCUGUUGAUGCUCUUUUAGACUUACAGCUGGGUCUUAUGAAAGCCGUGACUUUAUACCUAUCUUUUGUUACUGGAAAUUUAUAAAUCAAAUUAAUAAAGUUUUAAAAUAAAGUCUCCCUUUCUUUAUACUUA